AGUGAACGCUGGCGGUAGGCCUAACACAUGCAAGUCGAACGGCAGCACAGUAAGAGCUUGCUCUUACGGGUGGCGAGUGGCGGACGGGUGAGGAAUACAUCGGAAUCUACUUUUUCGUGGGCGAUAACGUAGGGAAACUUACGCUAAUACCGCAUACGACCUACGGGUGAAAGCAGGGGAUCUUCGGACCUUGCGCGAUUGAAUGAGCCGAUGCCGGAUUAGCUAGUUGGCGGGGUAAAGGCCCACCAAGGCGACGAUCCGUAGCUGGUCUGAGAGGAUGAUCAGCCACACUGGAACUGAGACACGGUCCAGACUCCUACGGGAGGCAGCAGUGGGGAAUAUUGGACAAUGGGCGCAAGCCUGAUCCAGCCAUACCGCGUGGGUGAAGAAGGCCUUCGGGUUGUAAAGCCCUUUUGUUGGGAAAGAAAAGCAGCAGGUUAAUACCCCGCUGUUCUGACGGUACCCAAAGAAUAAGCACCGGCUAACUUCGUG
This 492-nucleotide ribosomal RNA is filed under the name uncultured bacterium. Its description in RNAcentral is "partial 16S ribosomal RNA". It matches the Rfam family "Bacterial small subunit ribosomal RNA", at positions 29 to 507 of the family's 1533-position model. The record is from RNAcentral.